Molecule: ribosomal RNA, 256 nt
Filed under: uncultured bacterium
Lineage: Bacteria
Description: partial 16S ribosomal RNA
Rfam family: Bacterial small subunit ribosomal RNA
Source: RNAcentral
GACGUAGGUGGCGAACGUUAUCCGGAAUCAUUGGGCGUAAAGGGUGCGUAGAUGGCAUGAUAGGUUAUUAGUGGGAAAUCGAGGCUCAACCUCGUGGAAGCUGGUAAUACUGUUUUGCUUGAGUGCAGGAGAGGUUAACGGAACUCCAUGUGGAGCGGUAAAAUGCGUAGAUAUAUGGAAGAACAUCAAUAACGGCGAAGGCAGUUAACUAUUCUGCUACUGACAUUGAGGCACGAAAGCGUGGGGAGCAAAACGG